This 253-nucleotide ribosomal RNA is filed under the name uncultured bacterium. RNAcentral describes it as "partial 16S ribosomal RNA". It matches the Rfam family "Bacterial small subunit ribosomal RNA", at positions 524 to 776 of the family's 1533-position model. The record is from RNAcentral.
UACGGAGGGGGCUAGCGUUGUCCGAAGUUACUGGGCGUAAAGCGCGCGUAGGCGGGUUGGUAAGUCCGCUGUGAAGGCCCGGAGCUCAACUCCGGAGGGUCGGUGGAUACUGCCAGUCUUGAAGGUGCUAGGGGGAGAUGGAGUUACCGGUGUAGCGGUGAAAUGCGUAGAUAUCGGUAGGAACACCAGUGGCGAAGGCGGUCUCCUGGGGCAUUCUUGACGCUGAGGCGCGAAAGCUGGGGGAGCAAACGGG